This 1350-nucleotide long non-coding RNA is filed under the name Homo sapiens (human). Its description in RNAcentral is "HSALNT0376336". Lineage: Eukaryota; Metazoa; Chordata; Mammalia; Primates; Hominidae. The record is from RNAcentral.
AGUGCCUGCGCGGCUUGCUCCAGCAAGGUAAAAUUUCCCACUGCGAGGCAGGCAGUGAUGCUGCGGCCGCUUCGCACUGUGGCUCCUGCCGACCGCCAGGCGCUGUUACAGUGGAUGCGAACUAACCGUAAGUCAUUAUAUCGUACUGCAGAAACCAGCUCAACUAUGCAAAACUACCACCAGGACUGGCCGACACCAGGAGGGAUUCCAGAGACCACACUGCAGGGAGCAUACAGAAAGAAAAUUAAGAGAUCAGAUGCAGCAGCAGCCGGAACCCACAGUUCACCUUGGUGCAUUCCUUUAUGAUGAAGACUUAUUGAUUCAUUAUAUGAGAAAGGAAAAAUGAGCAGAAACUACUGUAUGAUGUGCAGCUCACACCAGACAGCAACUUUAGGGUUAUCUUUCCAGUUCAGCAGUGCAACUCUAUGGAGUAGAAUUGAAAGGAGACUUUUCGCCAAUUGCAGGAAAUGGUCAUAAAAAAAUACCUGCUCACUGACAGAAUAAAGAGUAAUUUAUCCCUACUUACAGAGAGAUUGCCCUACGUGUAACAGCUGCAUACAAAAAAGUUAUAAAAUUAUCAUUGGUUUAACAAGGAUAAGUGAAAAACAUUAAAAUUCUCCAACUGAACAAGGUGUGUCUGUUUCAUUGAUUGGCUGACUGUCAAAUCGGAAUCUGAUCUGCCCCAUUGACAAUGCCUUGGGCUUUUCCUCGGCCAUGGCAAAUGCCAGAGUCUUCUCAGCUGCCGCUUCACAAAAGAGGUACCAGCUUCUCACUGAACGAACACAGUGCAGCACCAGGAGUGACAGAAGAAGGAGGCGGCAGCGGUGGUUGAGGGACAGGGUGCGUGCACGUCCAAGUACAGUUCUUAAAAUGUUGAGGGCAUACAACAUAUGCUCAAUAAAUACCUGAUUUUUAAAAAAGACAAUGACUAUGGAAAACUCUUGAUCAUUAACCCGAAGGGAGAGUCUAGUUUCCAGGAAGCAUUUGUUUGUAUACACUAUUUAACCCAAGGAUACACUCUUUUCUCCGUGGCAGCGUGACUCAUCUUAGUCUCCAAUUUUUGACCUGGUAAGGCAUCUUUUUUGGUCUCUUAAUUUCUGGCUCACUUGGCCCUGAUUUGAUGUGAAUGUUCUUACUGACAUCCCAGUGACUGAUUCUCAGCACACCACAACCCCUUUUGGUUCCUACCCUAUCUUCUCUGUGUUGGCAACUGGACUCGCCUAUUCUUCAGGACUUUCAGGAGUGCACACUCUGGUAGCUCUCUAUUGACUUUACUGCUCACUCAUUCUUUUUCUUUUUUUUUGGAGACGGAGUCUCGCUCUGUUGCCCAGGCUGGAGUGCAGUGGCGCG